GGGGUUGUAGCUCAGUGGUAAAGCACUUGCCUAGCAUGUUUGAGGCCCUGGGUUCAAUCCCCAGCACCA
Molecule: transfer RNA, 69 nt
Filed under: Ictidomys tridecemlineatus (thirteen-lined ground squirrel)
Lineage: Eukaryota; Metazoa; Chordata; Mammalia; Rodentia; Sciuridae
Description: Spermophilus tridecemlineatus (thirteen-lined ground squirrel) tRNA
Rfam family: tRNA
About the family: Transfer RNA (tRNA) molecules are approximately 80 nucleotides in length.
Source: Rfam by way of RNAcentral